Molecule: ribosomal RNA, 449 nt
Filed under: uncultured bacterium
Lineage: Bacteria
Description: partial 16S ribosomal RNA
Rfam family: Bacterial small subunit ribosomal RNA
Source: RNAcentral
AGCGAACGCUGACGGCAGGCCUAACACAUGCAAGUCGAACGAACUCUUCGGAGUUAGUGGCGGACGGGUGAGUAACACGUGGGAACGUGCCUUUAGGUUCGGAAUAACUCAGGGAAACUUGUGCUAAUACCGAAUGUGCCCUUCGGGGGAAAGAUUUAUCGCCUUUAGAGCGGCCCGCGUCUGAUUAGCUAGUUGGUGAGGUAAAGGCUCACCAAGGCGACGAUCAGUAGCUGGUCUGAGAGGAUGAUCAGCCACAUUGGGACUGAGACGCGGCCCAAACUCCUACGGGAGGCAGCAGUGGGGAAUCUUGCGCAAUGGGCGAAAGCCUGACGCAGCCAUGCCGCGUGAAUGAUGAAGGUCUUAGGAUUGUAAAAUUCUUUCACCGGGGACGAUAAUGACGGUACCCGGAGAAGAAGCCCCGGCUAACUUCGUGCCAGCCGCCGCAGUAA